RNAcentral lists this ribosomal RNA (307 nucleotides) under Dehalococcoidia bacterium. RNAcentral describes it as "bacterial SSU rRNA". It matches the Rfam family "Bacterial small subunit ribosomal RNA", at positions 1 to 294 of the family's 1533-position model. The record is from RNAcentral. Lineage: Bacteria; Bacillati; Chloroflexota; Dehalococcoidia.
UUUCAUAGAGUUUGAUCCUGGCUCAGGACAAACGUUGGCGGUGCGUUUAAUGCAUGCAAGUUGAACGGUCAAUCUUGGACUUGUCUGAGAGAGAUAGUGGCAAACGGCUUAGUAACGCGUAGGUAACUUACCCUGAAGAGGGGGAUAAUUUCGAGAAAUCGGACCUAAUACCCCGUAAUUUUUAUUUGAUGUUGCAGAUAAAAUAAAGGCUAUCAGUUCGCUGAUAGUUGCUUUGGGAGAGGCCUGCGUCCUAUCAGGUAGUUGGUAAGGUAAAAGCUUACCAAGCCUAAGACGGGUAGCCGGUGUG